GAUGAAGAACGUAGCGAAAUGCGAUAAGUAGUGUGAAUUGCAGAAUUCAGUGAAUCAUCGAAUCUUUGAACGCACAUUGCGCCCUCUGGUAUUCCGGAGGGCAUGCCUGUUCGAGCGUCAUUAAAACUACUCAAGCUAAGGUUUUACCUUCUGCUUGGUCUUGGGUUUGAGGAUUCAAAAUCCUCUCUUCGAAAUCCAGUGGCGAAUUGUUUGAGCUGUAGACGUAGUAAAUCAUUCUACCCGUUGCAAGCGAGAAUAAUAUUCAGCCAUAACCCCCAUACUUUUCUAGUUUGACCUCGGAUCAGGUAGGGAUACCCGCUGAACUUAAGCAUAUCAAUAAGCGGAGGA
RNAcentral lists this unclassified non-coding RNA (348 nucleotides) under soil metagenome. RNAcentral describes it as "partial contains 5.8S ribosomal RNA, internal transcribed spacer 2, and large subunit ribosomal RNA". The stretch from base 1 to 120 matches the Rfam family "5.8S ribosomal RNA", at positions 35 to 154 of the family's 154-position model. The record is from RNAcentral.